RNAcentral lists this ribosomal RNA (162 nucleotides) under Semenovia frigida. RNAcentral's name for it is "5.8S ribosomal RNA". It matches the Rfam family "5.8S ribosomal RNA". Rfam says of the family: 5.8S ribosomal RNA (5.8S rRNA) is a component of the large subunit of the eukaryotic ribosome. Lineage: Eukaryota; Viridiplantae; Streptophyta; Magnoliopsida; Apiales; Apiaceae. The record is from RNAcentral.
AAUGACUCUCGACAACGGAUAUCUCGGCUCUCGCAUCGAUGAAGAACGUAGCGAAAUGCGAUACUUGGUGUGAAUUGCAGAAUCCCGUGAACCAUCGAGUCUUUGAACGCAAGUUGCGCCCGAAGCCAUUAGGCUAAGGGCACGUCUGCUUGGGUGUCACGC